GAUGAACGCUGGCGGCGUGCCUAAUACAUGCAAGUCGAGCGAACAGACGAGGAGCUUGCCCCUUUGACGUUAGCGGCGGACGGGUGAGUAACACGUAGGUAACCUACCUAUAAGACUGGGAUAACUUCGGGAAACCGGAGCUAAUACCGGAUAAUAUUUCGAACCGCAUGGUUCGAUAGUGAAAGAUGGCUUUGCUAUCACUUAUAGAUGGUCCUACGCCGUAUUAGCUAGUUGGUAAGGUAACGGCUUACCAAGGCUACGAUACGUAGCCGAUCUGAGAGGAUGAUCGGCCACACUGGAACUGAGACACGGUCCAGACUCCUACGGGAGGCAGCAGUAGGGAAUCUUCCGCAAUGGGCGAAAGCCUGACGGAGCAAUGCCGCGUGUGUGAUGAAGGUCUUCGGAUCGUAAAGCUCUGUUAGUAGGGAGGAACAAACGUGUAAGUAUCCGUGCACGUCUUGACGGUACCUAAUCAGAAAGCCCCGGCUAACUACGUG
This 497-nucleotide ribosomal RNA is filed under the name uncultured bacterium. RNAcentral describes it as "partial 16S ribosomal RNA". It matches the Rfam family "Bacterial small subunit ribosomal RNA", at positions 28 to 507 of the family's 1533-position model. The record is from RNAcentral.